Long non-coding RNA from Solanum pennellii, 1477 nucleotides. RefSeq lists it as uncharacterized. The transcript is spliced from 3 exons. The record is from RefSeq and is a predicted model, not a curated record. Lineage: Eukaryota; Viridiplantae; Streptophyta; Magnoliopsida; Solanales; Solanaceae.
UAGGAAGAUGACUGGGGAAGUUGUGGGGGUUUGCAUUUUUCUUUAAAUUUGACAAGUAUUUUAUUUAAUUUUUAUGGAUAAAAAGACUACAUGUCAUUUAUUCAUUGGUUACUUUGUCAUGUAUUUUAAUUCUUAUUUUUUCUUUUUAAUAUAAUAGACUUUUAAUGAGUUGGCAUGAUAUAAUUGGGCAUCCAAUCCACGUGGAUGCGCUUGGUUAAGACGCACUUGAAGUCAACAUGUGCUAUUGAAAAAAGUGUCAGAAUGACACAACGAAAUCUGAUAUGAGGCGUCUAAAAUGAAAAAAACCUAGUUAAAGAGUCUAAGUGAAAAUUGCUGCCAAGUUUAGGGGCCACCGAUGAGUUAGGCUUUUUUUUCCCAAUUUUCCGUCACAAAAAAUCAUGGUCUUUUUGUUUCUAUAAAAAAAUUAUAGAAGUUACCAAUUUUUUUAUUUUCCUUUUCAAUAAGUUUAAGUUGCGCCUCUUUGCUUUUCUCCAAACUAAAACUAGGUUUUCUCUUUUGUUGUUCCGCUGAGAAGCAGAUUAUUCUUGAAGUCAUCUCUGAAUUUUUCAUAGACUAAAGCUAGGUUUCUCUUUCAUUGUUUCGCUGAGAAGCAGAUUAUUCUUGAAGUCAUCUCAGAUGUUAAAUCGUUUAUGUGUAACUAUGAAGGCUUAAGAACAAGGCAAGAAUAUUCCAUUACGAAAAGAAGCAAAAAAGUUGAAAAAAGUGAAGAAAAGCAAGGUUGGAGCUCUUAAAAGACACUCGUCAACUCGCCGAGUGAGCUUUUAACUCGCUAAAGAUCCAGAGAAUUUGGCUCAUGAACUUAGCCAACUCGGAGAACUGAAGUGCAAAAUGGCGCAUCGCUGAAUUAAACGGUGAGAUCGACCCAAAUUGUCUAAAGGAAUAGAAAAAUAGGAGAGGUUAAGUCAAGUCUAAGCGGCGAGAACAGAUCCAAACGAUGAGUCACUGAAGCCAUUUGAUGACAUCCAUUAGGUUCGCCAACUAUAUAUGACGUCCUGAAUUCAAAAGUUCAAGCAGAUGUUUGGCGCUAAAACCUACCCAUCGGCGGUUCUUCGAGUCAUUCAACGAACCCGACUACUCUUGCCGACUUGGUCUCGAGAUAAAAUUUUGGGAAUUUUGUGGAAACAUAUAAUUUGUUUUUGAAGAGAGAUAAAGAGGACUUCACAUUACCAAUUAUUUUACUAGCAAAAACUUGUUUCUCUUGGAUAUUUUGAGCUAAGAAAUUGAGGUGUGAGGGUUUUAGUCUUAGUUUUUGGCAUUGAGUAUUGAAGAUUUCGGUGUCCUUAUAGAACAUAUUUUUGGUAACUCUUACUUAUUUUUUUACUAUGAUUGGCUAAACCUCAUUAACUAGGGUUGUGAUUAUGUAAUCGAAUACACAAAUUAGCUUGUGGAUAUUGUUAAUUGCUAAAUAUUAUGUUAUUUUGAAAUGAGUUCAAUUAUUUACUCAUGUUUUCAUCUA